RNAcentral lists this long non-coding RNA (810 nucleotides) under Rattus norvegicus (Norway rat). Its description in RNAcentral is "long non-coding RNA NONRATT015719". The record is from RNAcentral. Lineage: Eukaryota; Metazoa; Chordata; Mammalia; Rodentia; Muridae.
UGUAUCUUAGCAUUUCAUUUAUUGCUGAGAGAAAAUAUUAAAAACUCAAUUGGGACUUUAUUUUUUAGUUCUUUUUUUGUUUUGUUUGUUUGUUUGUUUGUUUCACAAGAAACCAGCUUCAUUUCAUACCAGGUGUUAACUUGGACUAAUCGUGUGUGUGAGUUUGUGUGUGAGUGUGUGUGUGUGUGUGUGUGUGUGUGUCUGUCUGUCAGUCUGUCUGUCUGUUCCCUGGAACAUUUGGCAAUUUGGGAAAAAUAGUUUUGGUUGUUACAACUGGAGACAUGCUACUAACCACCUGUAUAUUAAGGGUGGCGUUGCUCAGUACCCAUCAAUAAACAGGGCAGAUGUGACAGUGACACAGCUGAGAAAAAGCCUGCUUAGCGCCAGUUCUUAGGUCAUUUGGUUAUUAUCUACGCAGCAUGCUUUCUCACAUGCAAGUUUCAUGCUAAUGUGUUGCCUGUGUAACAAUGCCUAUUGGGAUGUAAACUCGAGGGGAAAUGUGUUUGUCUGAUAAUACAGCCAGUGUGCAAGGCUAUGAGCACAGCCCCAUCAGAAAGUCACAGACAUCCCCAGGGAUGGUUUAUUCAGACUGGUCCACAUUCCCCCUCCAUUCUUACAUCUGAAGAAAUGCAGAAGAGAUCUUGCUUUUUUGAGAAGGACUUGGGGGAUGGGGGGGAGCAUAUUUUGGAAGUGCCAGAUAGCAGCAUUACAUAACACUCUGUGUAUUCGAAUAACACAUCUUGAGUUUGAGAAAGCGGACAUCAAUGAAUUGGGAAAGGCUAAAUAAAAUUUUAAAGCAUGUUUGCAUGU